UCCCGGGCCUCCCAGCGCCCGUCUCCCUGCAAGGUGCUGCUCACCAUCAAGGUGCGGCGCUGUUAAACGGGGAAUGUAGCUGAAGGUCGCUAUCUGGAUAAGUUUUGAAAGAUGGCAGAAGGGAGACUAAGCAUCCUGCCUGGAGAGCACUGGAAAAAGAAGGGGCUAAAAUCCAUCUAUUGACACAGAGAUUAUGACACUGCCUAUUAUUCAUCUAUCCCUAUUACCAAUCUAAUACAGAGAUUAUGACACCA
Cyanistes caeruleus (blue tit) is the source of this 254-nucleotide non-coding RNA. Lineage: Eukaryota; Metazoa; Chordata; Aves; Passeriformes; Paridae. The record is from RefSeq and is a predicted model, not a curated record.